CCUACGGGUGGCAGCAGUAGGGAAUAUUGCUCAAUGGGGGAAACCCUGAAGCAGCAACGCCGCGUGGAGGAUGAAGGUUUUCGGAUUGUAAACUCCUUUUGUUAGAGAAGAUAAUGACGGUAUCUAACGAAUAAGCACCGGCUAACUCCGUGCCAGCAGCCGCGGUAAUACGGAGGGUGCCAGCGUUACUCGGAAUCACUGGUCGUAAAGAGCGCGUAGGCGGGAUAGCAAGUCAGAUGUGAAAUCCUAUGGCUUAACCAUAGAACUGCAUUUGAAACCGUUAUUCUAGAGUAGGGGAGAGGUAGGUGGAAUUCGUGGUGUAGGGGUAAAAUGCGUAGAGAUCAAGAGGAAUACUCAGUGCGAAGGCAGCCUGCUAGAACAUAACUGACGCUGAUGCGCGAAAGCGUGGGGAGCAAACAGGAUUAGAUACCCGUGUAGUC
Molecule: ribosomal RNA, 440 nt
Filed under: uncultured bacterium
Lineage: Bacteria
Description: partial 16S ribosomal RNA
Rfam family: Bacterial small subunit ribosomal RNA
Source: RNAcentral